Molecule: long non-coding RNA, 4137 nt
Organism: Labeo rohita (rohu)
Lineage: Eukaryota; Metazoa; Chordata; Actinopteri; Cypriniformes; Cyprinidae
Exons: 5
Source: RefSeq, a predicted model, not a curated record
GAGAGGCAGUUAGCGGAAUGAAAGACUGCCGCAAGCCGGAGAGGGAAGUAGAGCGCGGAAGAGGGGAGAGGGAGGGAGACAGACUGUCAGGCGAGAGCAAAGUCACUGGGCAACAUCGGCCCGCUUCAUGUGUAUGUGUGUGUGUUCAAACAGCACAAAUACACAAAAAUGGACACUCACAGGUCAAACUAUUGCAGUUGAAGGGACUUGUUUGCCAGUAUCGCAAGUACCCACCACUGGUCCCAAAGCAUUUGUACAAAUCGGCUACACAUGAUGCAUUAGCAUGAGGAAGCGCUUCAUUGAGCCGAACAAAGACCAUGCCGUCUCCAACAUUACUGAGUCAACGGGGGUCACGAGAACAAAUCCUCUAAGGCUUUAUGACUUCCUGAGGAAGGAGCCACAUGUGCUGCUGAUUACAGCGCUGAAUGCUAGCGGCUGUUCACCGGAGACUUACUUUAAUGUCUUUCGGGAGGAGAGGAUGAAUUUGCGGGCUGUAAAUCCCACAGCUCGGAUUUAGCGUGAACUAACAUGGCGGCCCCCAUCACCCGGUAUAGACCAACUAACGCGAUCAUUUUAAAAGUGUUUAAACUUCCAAAUACAUGUAUUUGCGCAUAUUUCAGAAUCGGAAUAUCAUAUAUUCCAUAAUCUAGCCAGCAUUUGUGAAUAUUAAAAAUAAAAAAAGAGAAACUAAAUAAAAUCGAUCCAUGUGUCUUACAGGUCUGUUGUGGCUGCGUUGUGUCACGUGACAAGCAUGAAGCGUCGCCAUGGAAACAGUAAGGCAAUACGUUCUAAAAUAACGGUCGCCUAAAAAAACUCACUGUGGGGCCUCAGCUAGAACAUUUUAAACUUACAUGUGAAAGGGUUAAAUAAUGAAAUAUUGAAAAUUUGUUAUCCUGUUAAUUACAGGUGUCGCAAUAUACUGGUAUUGACGAUUAUCAUAAUAUUUAAAUAAUGGAAUAUCGAAAAAUAGUUAUGGUGCUAAUUAGGGGUGUUGCAAUAUACCAGCAUUUAUGAUAAUCGUGAUAUGUAAAUACCGAAAUAUCAAGAAAAUUGUUAUCGUGUUAAUUAGAGGUUUUGUAAUGUACCAGUAUUGGCGAUAAUUGUGAUAUUUAAAUAAUGAAAUAUUGUUAUCAUGUUAAUUAGGGUGUCACAAAAUACCAGUAUUGACGAUGAUCAUAAUAUUAAAAUAGUUAAAUAAUGUUAUGGUGUUAAUUAGGGGUGUCCCAAUAUAUCGGUAUUGAUGAUAAUCGUGAUAUUUAAAUAAUUAAAUAUCGUUAUAGUGGUAUUUGAGGGUGUCACAAUAUAGCAGUAUUGACCAUGAUCAUAAUAUUCAAAUAAUGAAAUAAUAUUAUGGUGUUAAUUAGGGGUGUCUCAAUAUACUGGUAUUGACGAUGAUCGUGAUAUUUAAAUAACGAAAUAUCGAAAAAUUGUUAUUGUGUUAAUUAGGGGUGUCGCAAUAUACCAUUAUUGAUGAUAAUCGUGAAAUUUAAAUAACGAAAUAUCGAAAAAUUGUUAGUGUGUCAAUUAGGGGUGUUGUAAUGUACCAGUAUUGGCAAUGAUUGUGAUAUUUAAAUAAUGAAAUAUCGUUAUCAUGUUAAUUGGGGGUGUCGCAUUAUACCGGUAUUGAUAUAUAUGCAAAUAUAUAUUUUUUAAAAGUCUUUGACUGCGCUGAAGAAACAUGAGCACUGCACGUUUCAAAAUCAAAACGCGGGGCUAGAGUUUUUAUAUUGUAUAUAUUGUUUUAUAGUGUUUAUCUGAAGGAAAGGGACUGUCUUCAGGAAAUUUUCCAUUUCAUUAUGCCUGUAAUGUCUGAUAAAGCAGCGUUUGUGAUCGCAGUGCUGCUUUGUGUACAGCCGUUACCGGGAAAACGGCUAUAUUUACUGCUCCAAAAGCGGCACCUAGUGGCAAAGAAUAAAUUUGAUUUUCAUUCAAACCAACAUGAAAAAAAUCGAAUUAUGGUUUUGCGCAGCAAACACACAGAGUUGUAAAUGUGAACCGGUAUAUACAUCCCACGGGGGAAGCCCCGCCACACAUAAAGUGUAAGCCUGUGGGAAACUGGAUAUUUAAAAAUGGACAGUACGCAUUUGAUAAUAUGACACAUAAUAAUUCUGCACAAUUAUGGAAUUUUAAACUCUCAUGUCUGAUUUCAUUGUCGACACCGGAAGGCGCCCUCGUGCAGAAAGUCUGAAUUGUCCAAAUAUUAAAUUGUGAUAUAAAAAGUAAUAAUUAACUUUUUUUUAUACUACUUUUAUACUUUUUAUCUACAUACAAUUUCUGUUGUAAAAAAGUGGCACGUAUGAUAUCCACUUCCGGUUAAAUAGUCCAGUCAGGCAGGAUACUAUACACUGUACGGGGCUAACAAUGCAAUGCUAACUAGGCUAGCGACCAACAACAACAGCAACGUGACAUUCUUAAACAUAAAACAUAAAUCACAACCAACUGGCUGUCACUUUUUGUCGGUUUUACUUUACACUAGAAACUUGUCGUCCCGUGCCUGGUUAGGAAACGGUGUGUAGAGACAAUGAACCCGCUGCCCUGGUGCGCAGCUCGCUCACAGGGCCUCUUCUGUAUUCUCAAGCGCUGCGUGGUCCUCUCAGCGGAGCUGCGUGAGGGGGCUCUGUCAGCCAGCGCUCUGGCUGGAGGCCCAGACCACACGCACACACACAUAUACACACACCCCGCUCUGUGACAGCAGGCAGAGUGCUUGGCAGUGCCCGCCGUCAGACGGGGGCAGGCCGGAAUGUCAGCGGGCGGCAAUGGCUGCCACGGCAACAGAUCCAUCAGUGUCUGCAGAGGGAGAUUCCAUUACCGUGACGACGGGUUACAUCAUCCAUCUCCGCGGAGCUUUCGCAGGGUCUGUUCGGAAAAAUAUAUUAACGCUUCAUAAUGUUUUACAGCGUUAUGUUUUUUAAUUCCACAAAAUAAAAUUAUAUAAAAUAUAUGGCAGAUGGAUGGAUAGUAUAAUGUACAGAUGAACGAGUUGAAAAAAAUGAUCUGAACACCUUAGCAACUGCAUGACGACAUACUCAGAAGCGCUUACUGUUAUAGUAGCAACAUGCAUUAAAUCCCUCAGAAUGCCUUAGUAACCAUGUAGAAACUUGCUGAAGGAUGCUCAGAACACCUUAGCAACGUGCUUACUGCAACUGCAUAGCAUCACACUUAAAAUCACUCAAAACACUUUAGCAACCACAUAGCAACAUACUCAAAACUGUUAAUGUUAGUCACCCUAGCAACAGCAUAACAAUUUAGGAACUGCAUAGCAAUAUGCUUAAAACCAUUCAGAACACCUUAGCAACCAUAUAGCAACAUGCUUAAAACUACCCUGAGCACCUUAGCAACUGCAUACCAAUAUGCUAAAGACCAAAACACCUUAGCAACCACAUAGCAACAUGCUCAAAACUAUUAAUGUUAGUAACCCUAGCAACAGCGUAACAACUUAGCACCCGCAUAGCAACAUGCUUAAAAACCACUCAGAGCACCUUAGCAACUGCAUAGCAACAUACUUACAAACACUCAGAGCACCUUAGCAACUGCAUAGCAAUGUACCUAAUAUCACUCAAAACACCUUAGCAACCACAUAGCAACAUGCUCAAAACUAUUAAUGUUGCUCACCUUAGCAACAGCAUAACAACUUAGCACCCGCAUAGCAACGUGCUUAAAAACCACUCAGAGCACCUUAGCAACUGCAUAGCAACUGCAUAGCAACAUGCUUAAAAAAAAAAUUAGAGCACCUUAGCAUGAUAAAGACCAAAACACCUUAACAACCACAUAGCAACAUACUCAAACUACUAAUGUUGGUCACCCUAGCAACAGCAUAACUUAGUACCUGCAUAGCAACAUGCUUAAAAAUCAGUCGAAGCACCUUGGCAACCACAUAGUAACAUGCUUAAUGUCACUCAAAAUGCCUUAGCAACGACAUAGCAACAUACACAAAAUUAUUAAUGUUGGUCACCCUAGCAACAGCAUAACAACUUAGCACUCGCAUGCUUAAAAACUGCUCAGAGCACCUUAGCAACCACAUACCAACAUGCUAAAAAACAAUUCUAAACACCUUAGCAACCACAUAGCAAUGUGUUUAAUAUCACUCAAAGUGCCCUAGCAACCACAUAGCAACAUGUUAAAAACUAUUAAUCUUCA